Molecule: ribosomal RNA, 2031 nt
Filed under: Triticum aestivum (bread wheat)
Lineage: Eukaryota; Viridiplantae; Streptophyta; Magnoliopsida; Poales; Poaceae
Description: partial small subunit ribosomal RNA
Source: RNAcentral
AUGGCUACAGGGCCGCUGGAACUGUGGAGCCACCAGUCGAUGCAGAUCCUGGUCCUCCUCAGCCUCGGGCUCCAGCUCGUCCUGUUCGUCUUCGCUGGGGUCCGCCGGCGUGAAGCCCUCUUGCCAAGGUUCUUUCUGUGGCUAGCUUACCUCAUGGCCGACUCCACCGUCGUGUACGCCGUUGGCCACAUGUCAUUCAGCAGCGCCGUGCGGCGCCACCAGCUCGUUGCGUUCUGGGCGCCGUUCCUGCUUCUGCACCUCGGCGGCCCGGAUAACAUCACCGCGUACGCAUUCCAGGACAACCAGCUCUGGCUCCGCCACCUCCAGAUCCUCGUCGUGCAGGUCCUUGAAGCAGCCUACGUCCUCUACAAGCACAUCGCCUUCGCCGGCGGCGGGGAGAACGGGGACUUGCUUCGGAUCGCCUCCUUCCUGAUGUUUGCGGUAGGCGUCGACAAGUACGGCGAGAGGACGUGGGCGCUCAAGUGCAGCACCCUGGAGAGCAUCCGCGCCUCCAUCAAGACGCAGCCGCCGGCCAUACACAAUCAUUUCCACCCUCAGGACCAUGCCACGGAUGAGGAGUUCCACUUGCGACGAGCACACACGCUGUUCCACGUCUGCAAGUUCACCAUCGUCGAUUCAUCGGUGGUCGAGCUUGAGGAUGACUCCAUUUACGGACUGCAGGUGUACACCAGGAAGUUUUUACAAGGCGUCGAGCUGUGGACGCUGAUGGAGAUCGAGCUCUCCCUCAUGUACGACCUGCUCUACACCAAGGCGGCCGUGGUCCACACCUUCUUCGGCUACCUCGUCCGCGUCGUCUCGCCUCUUACCGUAACCACCUCGCUGCUCCUGUUCCAGUUCAACUCCAAGGACGGCCACACCAGAGUCGUGAUCACAAUCACAUACGUCCUGCUGGGUGGCGCCGUGUUCAUGGAGACGACGUCGCUCCUGAACGCGUUGGCAUCGUCUUGGAUGUUCGCGUUCCUGAGCGCCACCAGAUGGAGCUGGCUCCGGUACACCACUCUGUGCAACGAGAGAUGGGACAGGCUCCGGCACGCAGUUGUGUGGCUUCACCAUCUCGUCCAGGGUGAUAGCUGGUACAAGUCAAGAAGGUGGUCCUACACCAUCGGGCAGUACAACUUGCUGCACUUCUGCACGCGCCCCGCCGACACGCUGCUCAGUAGGCUGGCCAGGGUGCUGGGACUCAACGAGUGGUGGAACAGGAAGCACUACUCGGCAACCGUGGAGAUGACCGAUCCGAUCAGGCGUCGUAUCUCUGUGUACAUGAGCCGGCUGUACACCAAGGGGAAGUUCAACACUGGCAUGCUGAGGAAGAAGUGGGGCGAGUAUCCUCUAGACCGCCGUGGACUACUUUACCACAAAGGCGUCCUCGAGGACUGCCUCGGCGUCGAGUUCCAGGAGGGCAUCAUCAUCUGGCACAUCGCCACCGAGGUGUUCCUCACCAAGAGCGAAAGAGCCAAGGCUGGGGACGCCGCGCCUGACGUGCAUACCAUCAGGGUCAUGUCCGACUACAUGAUGUUCCUCCUGGUGGAACGUCCCUACAUGCUGCCGGGCCAGUCCCAAAAAAGGUUGUACGAACGGACCUGCGAGAGGCUGGUCACCAUGGGAUCGGCUCAUCCUAGGUACCCUAGCCGUAAAUGCGUCUUCAAGGACCUGUUCCGUCUACAUGAUGCCCCGCAUUCCAGUAUUUCUAGGGUCGCCGAGAGGGAGGAGCUCGUCAACAAAUUGUACCAUGAGUACAAGAACAGGGAGAUCAAUCCCCUUGCUCCUCGUCUCGCUCACAUGGCUCGGCUCGCCAAGGAGCUGCUAGAGAAGGAGAAGGAUGGCACGGUCGACUCCUUGGAGCUUGUCCUUGACGUGUGGAUGGACAUUCUCGUCUACGCCAGCAACAAGUGCACCAGGGAGUCCCAUGCCCAGAAGCUCAACAGUGGUGGUGAGGUGACGACCGUCUUGUGGCUUAUGGCAGAAUACAUCUACCAAGCAUCGAUUUCCCAAAGAGACGAUGUAGUAUAA